GAAAUGCGAUAAGUAAUGUGAAUUGCAGAAUUCAGUGAAUCAUCGAAUCUUUGAACGCACAUUGCGCCCGGCAGCAAUCUGCCGGGCAUGCCUGUCCGAGCGUCAUUUCUGCCCUCGAGCGCGGUUCGGCCCCUAGCGGGCCGGCCGCCGCCCGGUGUUGGGGCGCUGCGGGCCCUCGUGCCCGCAGGCCCUGAAAUGAAGUGGCGGUCCCGCCGCGGCGCCCCCUGCGUAGUAGUAAAGCACCUCGCAUCGGGUCCCGGCGGAGGCCAGCCGUCGAACCUCUCUUUUGAUGGUUUGACCUCGGAUCAGGUAGGGUUACCCGCUGAACUUAAGC
This 334-nucleotide unclassified non-coding RNA is filed under the name plant metagenome. RNAcentral's name for it is "partial contains 5.8S ribosomal RNA, internal transcribed spacer 2, and large subunit ribosomal RNA". The stretch from base 1 to 105 matches the Rfam family "5.8S ribosomal RNA", at positions 50 to 154 of the family's 154-position model. The record is from RNAcentral.